AUGGGAACGCGAAGAACCUUACCUAGACUUGACAUCUUCUGCAUUAAUCGUAAUGGAUGAAAUCCCUUCGGGGACAGAAUGACAGGUGGUGCAUGGUUGUCGUCAGCUCGUGUCGUGAGAUGUUGGGUUAAGUCCCGCAACGAGCGCAACCCCUAUUAUUAGUUGCUAACAUUAAGUUGAGCACUCUAGUGAGACUGCCCGGGUUAACCGGGAGGAAGGUGGGGAUGACGUCAAAUCAUCAUGCCCCUUAUGUCUAGGGCUACACACGUGCUACAAUGGUGGGAACAAAGAGAUGCAAGACCGCGAGGUGGAGCUAAACUCAAAACCCCAUCCCAGUUCGGAUUGUAGGCUGAAACUCGCCUACAUGAAGCUGGAGUUGCUAGUAAUCGCGAAUCAGAAUGUCGCGGUGAAUACGUUCCC
This 420-nucleotide ribosomal RNA is filed under the name uncultured bacterium. RNAcentral's name for it is "bacterial SSU rRNA". It matches the Rfam family "Bacterial small subunit ribosomal RNA", at positions 954 to 1375 of the family's 1533-position model. The record is from RNAcentral.